This 2926-nucleotide ribosomal RNA is filed under the name Escherichia coli. RNAcentral's name for it is "23S ribosomal RNA". It matches the Rfam family "Bacterial large subunit ribosomal RNA". Lineage: Bacteria; Pseudomonadati; Pseudomonadota; Gammaproteobacteria; Enterobacterales; Enterobacteriaceae. The record is from RNAcentral.
GGGUUGUGAGGUUAAGCGACUAAGCGUACACGGUGGAUGCCCUGGCAGUCAGAGGCGAUGAAGGACGUGCUAAUCUGCGAUAAGCGUCGGUAAGGUGAUAUGAACCGUUAUAACCGGCGAUUUCCGAAUGGGGAAACCCAGUGUGUUUCGACACACUAUCAUUAACUGAAUCCAUAGGUUAAUGAGGCGAACCGGGGGAACUGAAACAUCUAAGUACCCCGAGGAAAAGAAAUCAACCGAGAUUCCCCCAGUAGCGGCGAGCGAACGGGGAGCAGCCCAGAGCCUGAAUCAGUGUGUGUGUUAGUGGAAGCGUCUGGAAAGGCGCGCGAUACAGGGUGACAGCCCCGUACACAAAAAUGCACAUGCUGUGAGCUCGAUGAGUAGGGCGGGACACGUGGUAUCCUGUCUGAAUAUGGGGGGACCAUCCUCCAAGGCUAAAUACUCCUGACUGACCGAUAGUGAACCAGUACCGUGAGGGAAAGGCGAAAAGAACCCCGGCGAGGGGAGUGAAAAAGAACCUGAAACCGUGUACGUACAAGCAGUGGGAGCACGCUUCGGCGUGUGACUGCGUACCUUUUGUAUAAUGGGUCAGCGACUUAUAUUCUGUAGCAAGGUUAACCGAAUAGGGGAGCCGAAGGGAAACCGAGUCUUAACUGGGCGUUAAGUUGCAGGGUAUAGACCCGAAACCCGGUGAUCUAGCCAUGGGCAGGUUGAAGGUUGGGUAACACUAACUGGAGGACCGAACCGACUAAUGUUGAAAAAUUAGCGGAUGACUUGUGGCUGGGGGUGAAAGGCCAAUCAAACCGGGAGAUAGCUGGUUCUCCCCGAAAGCUAUUUAGGUAGCGCCUCGUGAAUUCAUCUCCGGGGGUAGAGCACUGUUUCGGCAAGGGGGUCAUCCCGACUUACCAACCCGAUGCAAACUGCGAAUACCGGAGAAUGUUAUCACGGGAGACACACGGCGGGUGCUAACGUCCGUCGUGAAGAGGGAAACAACCCAGACCGCCAGCUAAGGUCCCAAAGUCAUGGUUAAGUGGGAAACGAUGUGGGAAGGCCCAGACAGCCAGGAUGUUGGCUUAGAAGCAGCCAUCAUUUAAAGAAAGCGUAAUAGCUCACUGGUCGAGUCGGCCUGCGCGGAAGAUGUAACGGGGCUAAACCAUGCACCGAAGCUGCGGCAGCGACACUAUGUGUUGUUGGGUAGGGGAGCGUUCUGUAAGCCUGUGAAGGUGUACUGUGAGGUAUGCUGGAGGUAUCAGAAGUGCGAAUGCUGACAUAAGUAACGAUAAAGCGGGUGAAAAGCCCGCUCGCCGGAAGACCAAGGGUUCCUGUCCAACGUUAAUCGGGGCAGGGUGAGUCGACCCCUAAGGCGAGGCCGAAAGGCGUAGUCGAUGGGAAACAGGUUAAUAUUCCUGUACUUGGUGUUACUGCGAAGGGGGGACGGAGAAGGCUAUGUUGGCCGGGCGACGGUUGUCCCGGUUUAAGCGUGUAGGCUGGUUUUCCAGGCAAAUCCGGAAAAUCAAGGCUGAGGCGUGAUGACGAGGCACUACGGUGCUGAAGCAACAAAUGCCCUGCUUCCAGGAAAAGCCUCUAAGCAUCAGGUAACAUCAAAUCGUACCCCAAACCGACACAGGUGGUCAGGUAGAGAAUACCAAGGCGCUUGAGAGAACUCGGGUGAAGGAACUAGGCAAAAUGGUGCCGUAACUUCGGGAGAAGGCACGCUGAUAUGUAGGUGAAGUCCCUUGCGGAUGGAGCUGAAAUCAGUCGAAGAUACCAGCUGGCUGCAACUGUUUAUUAAAAACACAGCACUGUGCAAACACGAAAGUGGACGUAUACGGUGUGACGCCUGCCCGGUGCCGGAAGGUUAAUUGAUGGGGUUAGCGGUAACGCGAAGCUCUUGAUCGAAGCCCCGGUAAACGGCGGCCGUAACUAUAACGGUCCUAAGGUAGCGAAAUUCCUUGUCGGGUAAGUUCCGACCUGCACGAAUGGCGUAAUGAUGGCCAGGCUGUCUCCACCCGAGACUCAGUGAAAUUGAACUCGCUGUGAAGAUGCAGUGUACCCGCGGCAAGACGGAAAGACCCCGUGAACCUUUACUAUAGCUUGACACUGAACAUUGAGCCUUGAUGUGUAGGAUAGGUGGGAGGCUUUGAAGUGUGGACGCCAGUCUGCAUGGAGCCGACCUUGAAAUACCACCCUUUAAUGUUUGAUGUUCUAACGUUGGCCCCUGAUCGGGGUUGCGGACAGUGUCUGGUGGGUAGUUUGACUGGGGCGGUCUCCUCCUAAAGAGUAACGGAGGAGCACGAAGGUUGGCUAAUCCUGGUCGGACAUCAGGAGGUUAGUGCAAUGGCAUAAGCCAGCUUGACUGCGAGCGUGACGGCGCGAGCAGGUGCGAAAGCAGGUCAUAGUGAUCCGGUGGUUCUGAAUGGAAGGGCCAUCGCUCAACGGAUAAAAGGUACUCCGGGGAUAACAGGCUGAUACCGCCCAAGAGUUCAUAUCGACGGCGGUGUUUGGCACCUCGAUGUCGGCUCAUCACAUCCUGGGGCUGAAGUAGGUCCCAAGGGUAUGGCUGUUCGCCAUUUAAAGUGGUACGCGAGCUGGGUUUAGAACGUCGUGAGACAGUUCGGUCCCUAUCUGCCGUGGGCGCUGGAGAACUGAGGGGGGCUGCUCCUAGUACGAGAGGACCGGAGUGGACGCAUCACUGGUGUUCGGGUUGUCAUGCCAAUGGCACUGCCCGGUAGCUAAAUGCGGAAGAGAUAAGUGCUGAAAGCAUCUAAGCACGAAACUUGCCCCGAGAUGAGUUCUCCCUGACUCCUUGAGAGUCCUGAAGGAACGUUGAAGACGACGACGUUGAUAGGGCGGGUGUGUAAGCGCAGCGAUGCGUUGAGCUAACCGGUACUAAUGAACCGUGAGGCUUAACCUUACAACGCCGAAG